RNAcentral lists this ribosomal RNA (434 nucleotides) under Amblyomma auricularium. Its description in RNAcentral is "partial large subunit ribosomal RNA". The stretch from base 298 to 434 matches the Rfam family "Bacterial large subunit ribosomal RNA", at positions 2473 to 2610 of the family's 2925-position model. The record is from RNAcentral. Lineage: Eukaryota; Metazoa; Arthropoda; Arachnida; Ixodida; Ixodidae.
UUUUAAAUUGCUGUGGUAUUUUGACUAUACAAAGGUAUUGAAAUAAGACUUUAAUUGAGUGCUAAGAGAAUGGAAAUACAGAAAUUAACUUUUUUAGUCUUAACCAUUGAAGUUAUUUUUAUUUGUGAAGAAACAAUAAUUAAAAUUAAGGACAAGAAGACCCUAAGAAUUUUAUAAAAUUAAUUUUCCAAAUUUGGAAAAUUAAUUUUUUUAAUUGGGGCGAUUAAUUAAAAUUAAAAACUUUUUUUUAUAAAAAAAAGAACCGUUAAUAGCGGUUUAAUGGUAAAAUACUCUAGGGAUAACAGCGUAAUAAUUUUUGAUAGUUCAUAUUGACAAAAUAGUUUGCGACCUCGAUGUUGGAUUAGGAUGUUUUUUUAAUGAAGAAGUUAAAAAAAAAGGUUUGUUCAACCUUUAAAUUCCUACUUGAUCUGAGU